UACGAAGGUGGCAAGCGUUGUUCGGAUUUACUGGGCGUACAGGGAGCGUAGGCGGUUGGAUAAGCCCUCCGUGAAAUCUCCAGGCUUAACCUGGAAAGUGCAGAGGGGACUGUUCAGCUAGAGGAUGGGAGAGGAGCGCGGAAUUCCCGGUGUAGCGGUGAAAUGCGUAGAGAUCGGGAGGAAGGCCGGUGGCGAAGGCGGCUUUCUGGACGGUAACUGACGCUGAGACGCGAAAGCGUGGGGAGCAAACAGG
This 253-nucleotide ribosomal RNA is filed under the name uncultured bacterium. RNAcentral's name for it is "partial 16S ribosomal RNA". It matches the Rfam family "Bacterial small subunit ribosomal RNA", at positions 524 to 776 of the family's 1533-position model. The record is from RNAcentral.